GUGCCCUACGGGGGGCAGCAGUGAGGAAUAUUGGUCAAUGGCCGAAGGGCUGAACCAGCCAAGCCGCGUGAAGGAAUAAGGCCCUACGGGUCGUAAACUUCUUUAGUCAGGGAACAAAGGGUGCCACGCGUGGCGCUGUGAGUGCACCUGAAGAAUAAGCAUCGGCUAACUCCGUGCCAGCAGCCGCGGUAAUACGGAGGAUGCGAGCGUUAUCCGGAUUUAUUGGGUUUAAAGGGUGCGUAGGCGGAAUGCCAAGUCAGCGGUAAAAUCGCGGGGCUCAACCUCGCUCCGCCGUUGAAACUGGC
This 305-nucleotide ribosomal RNA is filed under the name uncultured bacterium. RNAcentral's name for it is "bacterial SSU rRNA". It matches the Rfam family "Bacterial small subunit ribosomal RNA", at positions 334 to 637 of the family's 1533-position model. The record is from RNAcentral.